RNAcentral lists this ribosomal RNA (260 nucleotides) under uncultured Lactobacillus sp. RNAcentral's name for it is "partial 16S ribosomal RNA". It matches the Rfam family "Bacterial small subunit ribosomal RNA", at positions 103 to 354 of the family's 1533-position model. Lineage: Bacteria; Bacillati; Bacillota; Bacilli; Lactobacillales; Lactobacillaceae. The record is from RNAcentral.
UGGGUGAGUAACGCGUGGGUAACCUGCCCUUAAGUCUGGGAUACCAUUUGGAAACAGAUGCUAAUACCGGAUAAAAGCUACUUUCGCAUGAAAGAAGUUUAAAAGGCGGCGUAAGCUGUCGCUAAAGGAUGGACCUGCGAUGCAUUAGCUAGUUGGUAAGGUAACGGCUUACCAAGGCGAUGAUGCAUAGCCGAGUUGAGAGACUGAUCGGCCACAUUGGGACUGAGACACGGCCCAAACUCCUACGGGAGGCAGCAGGU